UUCCUGGUGGUUCAGUGGUUUAGACAUGGCACUCCUAAGGCAGAGAUCCCAGGUUCAAUCCCUGGUCAGGGAA
RNAcentral lists this transfer RNA (73 nucleotides) under Bos taurus (domestic cattle). It matches the Rfam family "tRNA". Rfam says of the family: Transfer RNA (tRNA) molecules are approximately 80 nucleotides in length. RNAcentral also lists the same sequence under 6 other names. Lineage: Eukaryota; Metazoa; Chordata; Mammalia; Artiodactyla; Bovidae. The record is from Rfam by way of RNAcentral.